Molecule: ribosomal RNA, 467 nt
Filed under: uncultured bacterium
Lineage: Bacteria
Description: bacterial SSU rRNA
Rfam family: Bacterial small subunit ribosomal RNA
Source: RNAcentral
GCCAGACUCCUACGGGAGGCAGCAGUGAGGAAUAUUGGUCAAUGGGCGGGAGCCUGAACCAGCCAAGUCGCGUGAGGGAAGACGGUCCUAUGGAUUGUAAACCUCUUUUGUCGGGGAGCAAAGAGAUCACGUGUGGUCAAAAGCGAGAGUACCCGAAGAAAAAGCAUCGGCUAACUCCGUGCCAGCAGCCGCGGUAAUACGGAGGAUGCGAGCGUUAUCCGGAUUUAUUGGGUUUAAAGGGUGCGUAGGCGGGCCUGUAAGUCAGAAGUGAAAUCUGGGGGCUUAACCCCCAAACUGCUUUUGAAACUGCGGGUCUUGAGUGAUGGAGAGGCAGGCGGAAUUCCCAGUGUAGCGGUGAAAUGCGUAGAUAUUGGGAGGAACACCAGUGGCGAAGGCGGCCUGCUGGACAUUAACUGACGCUGAGGCGCGAAAGCGUGGGGAGCAAACAGGAUUAGAUACCCGAGUAU